GAUCAUGGCUCAGGAUGAACGCUAGCUACAGGCUUAACACAUGCAAGUCGAGGGCAGCAUGGUCUUAGCUUGCUAAGGCCGAUUGGCGACCGGCGCACGGGUGAGUAACACGUAUCCAACCUGCCGUCUACUCUUGGACAGCCUUCUGAAAGGAAGAUUAAUACAAGAUGGCAUCAUGAGUCCGCAUGUUCACAUGAUUAAAGGUAUUCUGGUAGACGAUGGGG
RNAcentral lists this ribosomal RNA (224 nucleotides) under uncultured bacterium. Its description in RNAcentral is "partial 16S ribosomal RNA". It matches the Rfam family "Bacterial small subunit ribosomal RNA", at positions 15 to 230 of the family's 1533-position model. The record is from RNAcentral.